This 468-nucleotide ribosomal RNA is filed under the name uncultured bacterium. Its description in RNAcentral is "partial 16S ribosomal RNA". It matches the Rfam family "Bacterial small subunit ribosomal RNA", at positions 28 to 507 of the family's 1533-position model. The record is from RNAcentral.
GACGAACGCUGGCGGCGUGCUUAACACAUGCAAGUCGAACGGAAAGGCCCUGCUUUUGUAGGGUGCUCGAGUGGCGAACGGGUGAGUAACACGUGAGUAACCUGCCCUUGACUUUGGGAUAACUUCAGGAAACUGGGGCUAAUACCGGAUAGGAGCUCCUGCUGCAUGGUGGGGGUUGGAAAGUUUCGGCGGUUGGGGAUGGACUCGCGGCUUAUCAGCUUGUUGGUGGGGUAGUGGCUUACCAAGGCUUUGACGGGUAGCCGGCCUGGGAGGGUGACCGGCCACAUUGGGACUGAGAUACGGACCAGACUCCUACGGGAGGCAGCAGUGGGGAAUAUUGCACAAUGGGCGGAAGCCUGAUGCAGCAACGCCGCGUGCGGGAUGACGGCCUUCGGGUUGUAAACCGCCUUCGCCUGUGACGAAGCGUGAGUGACGGUAAUGGGUAAAGAAGCACCGGCUAACUACGUG